RNAcentral lists this ribosomal RNA (442 nucleotides) under uncultured bacterium. RNAcentral describes it as "partial 16S ribosomal RNA". It matches the Rfam family "Bacterial small subunit ribosomal RNA", at positions 338 to 795 of the family's 1533-position model. The record is from RNAcentral.
CCUACGGGCUGCAGCAGUGGGGAAUAUUGGGCAAUGGGCGCAAGCCUGACCCAGCAACGCCGCGUGAAGGAAGAAGGCUUUCGGGAUGUAAACUUCUUUUAAGCAGGAGUAGAAGAAAACGGUACCUCUUGAAUAAGGCACGGCUAACUACAUACCAGCAGCAGCGGUAUUACGUAGGUGGAAAGCAUUUUCCGGAUUUACUGGGUUUAAAGGGCGUGCGGCCUGUAAGGCAAGUCAGUUGGGAACUCCCGGGGCUCAACCGCGGAAGUGCAUUUGACACUGUUUUUCUUGAGUACCGGAGAGGUCAUCGGAAUUCCUUGUGUAGCGGUGAAAUGCGUAGAUAUAAGGAAGAACACCAGUGGCGAAGGCGGAUGACUGGACGGCAACUGACGGUGAGGCGCGAAAGCGUGGGGAGCAAACAGGAUUAGAUACCCUUGUAGUC